GAUGAAUGCUGGCGGCGUGCCUAACACAUGCAAGUCGAGCGGCAGCGAGUUUUACACUGAAUUCUGGAAGCUUCUGAGUAGUACAGAAGAUUUAUUCAAGAGUUUUGUGUAAAAUGUCGGCGAGCGGCGGAUGGCUGAGUAACGCGUAGGAAUUUGCCCCAAAGUGAGGAAUAACUGCCCGAAAGGGUAGCUAAUGCCGCAUAUGGUCUUCGGAUUAAAGCCUUCGGGCGCUUUGGGAGAAGCCUGCGUUGGAUUAGGUAGUUGGUAGGGUAAUGGCCUACCAAGCCGACGAUCCAUAGCUGGUCUGAGAGGAUGAUCAGCCAGACUGGAACUGAGACACGGUCCAGACUCCUACGGGAGGCAGCAGUGAGGAAUCUUCCACAAUGGGCGAAAGCCUGAUGGAGCAACGCCGCGUGAAGGAUGAAGGCCUUCGGGUUGUAAACUUCUUUUAUGAGUGAAGAAUAUGACGGUAACUCAUGAAUAAGCACCGGCUAACUACGUG
This 502-nucleotide ribosomal RNA is filed under the name uncultured bacterium. Its description in RNAcentral is "partial 16S ribosomal RNA". It matches the Rfam family "Bacterial small subunit ribosomal RNA", at positions 28 to 507 of the family's 1533-position model. The record is from RNAcentral.